AAACUGUGCUGCCACAGGCCCAUUUUUCGGUGAGAAAGCUAGAAAAGUUGGAGGACUUGUUCUAAGUCACGCUGUUACCAGCCUAGAGGGGCAUCUCAGUGUUUUGAGCAGCUUCUCGUUUUGUGAGCUUUGUGGAUGAGUGAGCA
RNAcentral lists this unclassified non-coding RNA (146 nucleotides) under Homo sapiens (human). RNAcentral's name for it is "olfactory receptor family 12 subfamily D member 3 (ENSG00000229181.1)". The record is from RNAcentral. Lineage: Eukaryota; Metazoa; Chordata; Mammalia; Primates; Hominidae.